RNAcentral lists this long non-coding RNA (361 nucleotides) under Lynx canadensis (Canada lynx). Its description in RNAcentral is "lncRNA (ENSLCNG00005010141.1)". Lineage: Eukaryota; Metazoa; Chordata; Mammalia; Carnivora; Felidae. The record is from RNAcentral.
ACGAAGAUUUUGAAGUCAUUCGACAUCUGAAGCUAUGAUUUAAAUAUCAGCAGUACAAUUUCAACCAGAAAAACUUAAGCUUCCUUGGAUUACCAAGUCAAAGAAAAGUUCCAAGCUUUCAGAAAGAAUUCUUGCUUGAAGAUAAAGAACAGCGCACUAACUACAAAGGAGGAAUCAAUGCUAAGCUUUUAACUGCACUUCCCAAAGGUGAGACUUUCUGUAAAUGGUUGACCGGUGUCCUGAGCCUGUAGGUCUUGUGUUGCCUGAUUUCCUUGGAGGGGGACUGCUUCACUGAUCUCCGGUGUAUACUCUUGUACGUGUCCCUUUCUGUCUAUUUCAACAAUUAGCCUCAACUAAGGUA